CCCUUUCAAUUUAAAAUACAACAUUGGAAGAAUUAUUAUCUUUAACAGGGGAGUUGAUGAUUUAAAACUUAGUAGAAAUUUUAUUUUAUGAAAAAUACAACCUCAGACGAUUUAAGGGGAUAUAAUUGAGAAACUAAUUGAAUUAAGGAUGUAACAAUUAUUGAAGUUUGAGGUAUUGGAAACAUUGUGAGUUCUAACGCAAAGGAUCACAACAAUAAAGGAAUCAAACAGUUUAAACAUUUGAAUUGAUAACAACAAAUAAACACAACAGCAGAAAGUGCACGGCAUCACCCUUCGUGCUUUUACUCUCGUUCUCACCAUAAGAAUCAAUAUUCACUUUUAUUCUUUCUUGUUGCGGCGUGCAACCCGAUCCCAAUCAUAUAUCACUGACGCGGCUUGCAACCCGAUCCAAAACAUAUAAUAUUGUUGCAGCGUGCAAACCGAUCCAAAUCGUAUAAUAAUAUUGCGGUGUGCAACCCGAUCCAUAUAAUAUUAUUGCAGUGUGCAACUCGAUCCAUAUAAUAUUGUUGCAGUGUGCAACCCGAUCCAUACAAUAUUGUUGCGGCGUGCAACCCGAUACAUAUAAUAUUGUUGCGGCAUGCAACCCGAUACCAAUAUACAAAUCAACUCCAAUCACGAAAGAAUCCCGGCAAGGGAGUCAACAACAAGAAUAAACACGUCCCGGCAAGGAAACCAACAGUAAGAAUUAAAUAUGUCCCGGCAAGGGAAUCAGCUAUAACCAAACUUGUACCAACAAUUUACUUCACAAUGAAACCUCAACUACACAACAAGACAUAAUAAGCACGUGAUAACUAUAUCGGCAACCACAACAAUUGGACAUGUAACCUAUUUGCACGAAGUCAUAGAGGAACUCACAAGCAAGAAGUAUCAAAACAACAAGGAAGACAAUCACUUCAAUUAAGGCAAUUUAGGGUCAAUGUAACACGUAAGAAUUAGAGGAAAGCUAACAACGUUAUGGAGCAUAUAGAGGCAAUUUAAGCAACUAGGAAACCCAAUCAUAACAGGAUACUUUCCACAUAAGGACCUAAAAACCCUAGAGGCAAAUUUCUCACAAAUAAGUCCGAGCACACACUCGUCACCUCGCAUGCAUGGACCAUAAUUAGCAUAGAAGACUUAAUUCCUAAGGGGAAGUCCCCCACACAAGGUUAGGCAAGAUGCUUACAUUGCUUUGCAACGAAUUCAAGAUUCCAACAAGCUUUUGUCUCGUGAAUUCGUACCCGAAUUUCUCAAAUCUAGUCAUAAACAAUUCAAAAUACUCAACACGAAUCGUAGGAACUAAUUCCAUAUGAAUUUACACAUUUUCCAAACUAAAAUCCGAAAUUUAGCUCAAAAUUGCCCGUGGGGCCCAUGUAUCGAAAUCCGAGAAACUCAUAAAAUCUGACAACCCAUUCCGAUACGAGUUCAACUAUACAAAAAUUAUCGAAUUCCGAUGUCAAAUGGACCUUCAAAUCCUAAAUUUUCAAUUUUGGAAAGUUUUACAAAAACUACAAUUUCUUUCAUCCAAAUCCAAAAUAAACGAUGAAUAUUGAUAUAGAUUUAUGAAAUGUACCCACUUCUGAAUAUAGAACACUUACCCAAGUCGAAAUCGUGAAAAACCUCUUUGAAAUCGCCCAAAUCCGAGCUUGAAUAACCAAAAAUGGAAGAAAUUUCGGACCCCUUCGGUUUUUACACUGCCCAAGGGUAUUAUAGGGAUUUUACAUACCUUGCCGCGCUCCCGCCGUGCUCACAGGAAGAAAACUUUCGAAUCGGCACGGUCGUGGCGUGGCCGCGCACCUGGGCGGUAAAAUGGUCAUAACUUUUUGUAUACACCUCCAAAUGACGAACGGUUUGAUGCAUUGGAACUAGACUCAAAGAGAUUUAAUUUGAUAGGUUGUUCAUUACACAACUUCUUAUAUACAUGUAGAUAUUCUCAUACAAAGUGAGGUCUUGUGCGUACUCAUUUGCAACUUUAGUAUAUUACGAAAUUUUCCAACUUGGCUUAGACUUAGGACUUUCCUUAGACCCCAUAUAUCUUAUAGUAUGCCUCGUACACUUGAUAUCAUAUCCCAUUGGUAUUCAUCAUGGUAAUAGACCUCUUACACAUAUAAAAAAAUAUAAUUAGAACACGUCAACUUUCUUAUUUCGUCAAAAUGCACUGAAUUAUCCUAUGGACUUCCAUAUCCAAAUUCUGACAUGCGUCUAAGUCCGAAAUCACCAUACGAAGCUAUUGACAUCACUAAAAUUCUAAUUUGGGGUUUUUUGCUCAAAAGUUAACUCUUCGGUCAACUCUUUCCAUUUGCUUCAAAAAUAAGAUUUUGAUUUUCUUUAAAUUUAACUCCGAAUCUUACGAAAAAUCAAACUUGACCAUACAUGCGGGUCAUAAUGCGUAUUACGAAGCUCCUCGAGGUCUUAAGCCAUUGAACGAGACGCUAAUUCUUAAAACGACAGGUCGGGUCGUUACAGAAGCCCACCAAAUAAAACUUUGCAUUGGCAUGAAUUGACAACAGUGCAUUCAUCGCUCCUAUGAGUCUUUUAGCACAUGAAAGACAAAAAAGGUAAAAUUUUCAAUUUCCAACUUGCAAAAUAUCUAAACAAAAUAUCUCAUCCUUCCAAACCACAAACCAUCAUUUAAAGACAGAAUUCUUAAAAUGGGUAGGAUCAAAUCAGCCCUAAAAUCAAAUGGUUUAUAAGAGUAAUCCAAAUUCACAAUUAUUCACAUGGGAUUUCAACAUUUAAGGCAAAGUCCCUAAUUGAAUGCUUGAAACUAAUCAAGGAUAUAGAGAACCAAAUACGCAAGGACAUGAAUAGGAUCAUCUUGUUCAUAAAUGCAACACUGUCUUAUUAUAUGUGAAAGUCAUCCUAGAAGUUAACCUACUAUUCUCAUAAGCCAUUACUAAGGUAUCAAUUAUAUGUCUACUCUAUGAUUUUGUCACACGUUUAGCAAAAAAACAGAAUCUUAUCUCGCCAUCUCUUAACUUUUACAUGGUAUCCAUUUCAUCACUUGCAGGAGUCUUACACCACUGGAGACUAUAUUAAUGCUAUUGUUAACAGACAGAAAGCUAAAACUAUAAGUAUUGUGUUGUACCAUUUAUUUUGUAAAUCUACCAUUAUACUAAAAGGAGAAUAUACGAAAAUCAGACAAAAUCUCCCUUUUCAAACACACAGCACAAUAUCCAAUCUUGAACUAAUAAUAUAUUAAUACUACCAAAAAUUCUUCCUGGCAAACUACCAGAUUCAAACUGGCACAAUUAGGAAAAGUGAAGACAUCAAAAUUGGUCGAAUUCUCAGAGGAAAACAAAAGGAAUUCAUAUUAACUUAAGUUUUUUGUUCAUACGAGCAGAAGUACAAAAAAUGAGGAAGGCAUGUGUACCUAAUGUUCGCAAAUGGAAUCCAAAUGACCAACUAAAGGCAAAUCCGUGAAAGAUGGAGCUAAGCUGAAGCAAAUAGCCUACGGACUCAGCAAAACAUCAGCGACAGAUCCAGUGACCAAACAAAGCUUCUUCAAACCAAAUGGCACUCGAAAUUCCAGAAAAAUUGAAGCAAAAGAGAAGAAAUUCGAACAGUGUUCAAACCCUUUAUUUUUCUAUUUUUUCGUUCAUUUUUCUUUUGAAUUUGACCAUUUAUCUUGUGUGUGUUUCUUUUUAAUUUGAUGGAAAGAGGAUGAUAAAGAUGGGGAGGGGAAGGCGUUGGCUUUUUCUUGCUAAAGAGGGAGGGUCUGUUUCUGGCUCUUUGUUGAAGAUGAGGAAAUGAAGAAUAAGAAAAGAAAAGGGAGUUGGGUUGCGCCGUUGGUCUGUUUUUUUAGAGAAGGGAGCUUCUGAUUGUUUUCGGUUUUUCUCUGAUUUUCGUUAGGUCUAGAACAUGGGGAGGG
RNAcentral lists this long non-coding RNA (3868 nucleotides) under Nicotiana tabacum (common tobacco). RNAcentral describes it as "long non-coding RNA (NTAB_LNC003708)". Lineage: Eukaryota; Viridiplantae; Streptophyta; Magnoliopsida; Solanales; Solanaceae. The record is from RNAcentral.